GACGAACGCUGGCGGCGUGCUUAACACAUGCAAGUCGAACGGGCCUUGUCCCCUUUUUUUUGGGGGUGGGGUUAGUGGCGAACGGGUGAGUAACACGUGAGUAACCUGCCCCUCACUUCUGGAUAACCGCUUGAAAGGGUGGCUAAUACGGGGUGUUCUGGCCUGCUCGCAUGGGUGGGUAUGGAAAGAUUCGACCGGUUUUGGUUGUUUUUGUGGGGGAUGGGCUCGCGGCCUAUCAGCUUGUUGGUGGGGUGAUGGCCUGCCAAGGCUUUGACGGGUAGCCGGCCUGAGAGGGUGGGCGGUCACACUGGGACUGAGACACGGCCCAGACUCCUACGGGAGGCAGCAGUGGGGAAUAUUGCACAAUGGGCGCAAGCCUGAUGCAGCGACGCCGCGUGAGGGAUGGAGGCCUUCGGGUUGUGAACCUCUUUCGCCAGUGAAGAAGGUCCUGCUCUUUGUGGUGGGGUUGACGGUAGCUGGGUUAAUGAAGCGCCGGCUAACUACGUG
RNAcentral lists this ribosomal RNA (507 nucleotides) under uncultured bacterium. RNAcentral describes it as "partial 16S ribosomal RNA". It matches the Rfam family "Bacterial small subunit ribosomal RNA", at positions 28 to 507 of the family's 1533-position model. The record is from RNAcentral.